AGAGUUUGAUCAUGGCUCAGGACGAACGCUGGCGGCGUGCCUAAAACAUGCAAGUCGAACGGAGGCAGCAAUGCCUCAGUGGCGAACGGCGGAGUAAUACGUAAGCAACGUGCCCUAAAGAUCGGGAUAGUCAGUGGAAACGCUGGGUAAUACCGGAUGUGGCGGACAGGAGGCAUCUUCAGUCCACUAAAUGGUUUUUCGCUUUAGGAGCGGCUUACGGCCUAUCAGGUAGUUGGUGAGGUAAUGGCUCACCAAGCCGACGACGGGUAGCGGGUCUGAGAGGAUGAUCCGCUCGAGUGGGACUGAGACACGGCCCACACACCUACGGGUGGCAGCAGUUGGGAAUCUUGCACAAUGGGGGAAACCCUGAUGCAGCGACGCCGCGUGGAGGAUGAAGGAUCUAGGUCUGUAAACUCCUUUUAUCGGGAAAGACUUAGGACGGUACCCGAUGAAUAAGGACCGGCUAACUACAUGCCAGCAGCCGCGGUAAGACGUAGGGUCCAAGCGUUGUCCGGAUUUACUGGGCGUAAAGAGCGCGUAGGCGGUCUGUUAAGUGAGAAGUGAAAUCUCCAGGGCUCAACCCGGAAACUGCUUUUCAUACUGGCAGACUUGAGGGAUGCAGAGGUAUGUGGAAUUCCUGGUGUAACGGUGAAAUGUGUUGAUAUCAGGAGGAACACCCAUGGCGAAGGCAGCAUACUGGGCAUCAUCUGACGCUGAGGCGCGAAAGCGUGGGUAGCAAACAGGAUUAGAUACCCCAGUAGUCC
Molecule: ribosomal RNA, 764 nt
Filed under: uncultured soil bacterium
Lineage: Bacteria
Description: bacterial SSU rRNA
Rfam family: Bacterial small subunit ribosomal RNA
Source: RNAcentral